This 311-nucleotide ribosomal RNA is filed under the name uncultured bacterium. RNAcentral's name for it is "bacterial SSU rRNA". It matches the Rfam family "Bacterial small subunit ribosomal RNA", at positions 30 to 334 of the family's 1533-position model. The record is from RNAcentral.
AUUGAACGCUGGCGACAUGCCUUACACAUGCAAGUCGAACGGCAGCAUGAUCUAGCUUGCUAGAUUGAUGGCGAGUGGCGAACGGGUGAGUAAUACAUCGGAACGUGCCCUGUAGUGGGGGAUAACUAGUCGAAAGAUUAGCUAAUACCGCAUACGACCUGAAAGGGUGAAGGUGGGGACCGCAAGGCCUCAUGCUAUAGGAGCGGCCGAUGUCUGAUUAGCUAGUUGGUGAGGUAAAGGCUCACCAAGGCGACGAUCAGUAGCUGGUCUGAGAGGACGAUCAGCCACACUGGGACUGAGACACGGCCCAG